AGAAAUGGCAACAAAGAGCAGCCCUCCACAGGAAAAGGAUCUCAUUUCAGAGGUCGAGUUCUGGUGGUAGCAGCUCAACGUCAUUAGAUAAGGGUUGCUUUGUGGUUUAUACGGCGGACAAAGCCCGCUUUACUUUUCCAAUAAGUUACCUGAGCAACUCUGUUUUCCAAGUACUCUUGAAAAUCUCUGAAGAAGAGUUCGGCCUCCCCACCGAAGGACAAAUUACAUUGCCAUUCGAUUCUGUUUUCUUGGAGUAUCUUAUCAAAUUGGUCCAGCGACGAAUGGAUGAAAAUACAGAAAAGGCUUUGUUAAUGUCAAUCUCUAGUGGUAGAUGUUCUUCGCAAUGCUCUUUGCAACUACAAGAUCAAAGUAGUUGUCAACAUUUGCUUGUAUUUUAGAGUGUAGCAGUUUCUGUAUUAGAUAGAAACAACACAUGUAUUUCUUUGCGUCUGUCUAUUUCUCUGAUCACAACUUUGUCCCUGAUUUCACCAAAGAUUUGUUGUCCCCUAAUAAUUACUUGACCUAAUAUUUUUGUGAUCACGUUCUAUUAGAUCUACUAACCAACAUGGGACCCCUUAUGCUAAUAAAAAACGGUGUAAAAAAGCAUGAGUCUGGUAGUUUUUGGCUUCUCUUGUAUAUAUACAAGUUCUCAACUUCUGUUGUAAGUAUAUAUAUAUAUAUUGUAUCUUGUUAUAUAAAUACAUAGCUUUCAUUCCCGCAUGAUCAUGUCUUCUCACCAUAAGCUUUAUAGUCCACAAUUUGUUUUGCACAUACAAUUGAUUAUGCCAACUUGGGACCAUCAUAGAUCAGAUAGAGUAGAAACAUAGGCAUGUGCUGUGUCUGGUUAGGUUUCUGAGGAGCUUGUCAUAAAGCCUGUCAAAACUAAUAGUUUCUCCUCCUAUAAAAUGAAACAAGGCAAUGGUAUUUUCCAUCAUUCAUUUCUGUCAUAACUAUCAUUCACAGAAUCACAUAGAGCUCUACAUCAGAACUUACAAAUCUGUUCUCUUUCUUUCUCCUUCUUACUUUUUGGAUUAAAUAUUUUUUAGAAAAUGAUAAUGAACACAAAGAAGCUAAUCAAGAUGGUCAAGAAAUGGCAACAAAGAGCAGCCCUCCACAGGAAAAGGAUCUCAUUUCAGAGGUCGAGUUCUGGUGGUAGCAGCUCAACGUCAUUAGAUAAGGGUUGCUUUGUGGUUUAUACGGCGGACAAAGCCCGCUUUACUUUUCCAAUAAGUUACCUGAGCAACUCUGUUUUCCAAGUACUCUUGAAAAUCUCUGAAGAAGAGUUCGGCCUCCCCACCGAAGGACCAAUUACAUUGCCAUUCGAUUCUGUUUUCUUGGAGUAUCUUAUCAAAUUGGUCCAGCGACGAAUGGAUGA
RNAcentral lists this long non-coding RNA (1375 nucleotides) under Brassica napus (rape). RNAcentral describes it as "long non-coding RNA (BNAP_LNC015031)". Lineage: Eukaryota; Viridiplantae; Streptophyta; Magnoliopsida; Brassicales; Brassicaceae. The record is from RNAcentral.